RNAcentral lists this long non-coding RNA (1286 nucleotides) under Lynx pardinus (Iberian lynx). Lineage: Eukaryota; Metazoa; Chordata; Mammalia; Carnivora; Felidae. The record is from RNAcentral.
GCUCUCCUCUCCUGCUAAGCUUUGUUUCCUGGCCGUAAUUAAAACCUUCUGCCACCGCCAUAGCCACUGCUGCUGGAACCACCAUAGCCACCUUGGUUUCAUGGUUUGACAAAGUACUGGCCUCCACCACCAUAGGGGCCAGGGCUUCUGCCUCCAAAAUUUCCUCCUUUCAUGGGUCCAAAAUUUGAAGAUUCAUUGUUGUAAUUGCCAAAAUCAUUAUAGCUUUCACCACCUCCAAAGUUGCUUCCAUCGUUACCAAAUCUGUUAUAGCCAUCCCCACUGCCACCAUAUCCACUACCCCUUUGAUUCCCACCACAGCUACCUCACCCACUGAAGCUUCCUCCAUGACCAAAGUUAUUCCCACCAAAACCACCUCCAUGACCACCACCAAAGUUUCCAGAGCCACUUUGACCUCUUUGGCUGGAUGAAGCACUAGCCAUCUCUUUCUUAGACAGAGUUCUCCUGACUUCACAAUUGUGACCAUUCACAGUAUGGUAUUUUUGAAUGACAAUCUUGUCUAUAGAGUCAUGGUCAUCAAAUGUUAUAAAAGCAAACCUCUCUUUUUGCCACUGCCUCAGUUAGUCAUGAUUUCAGUCACUCCAAUUUUCCCAUACUGUUCAAAAUAAUCUCUUGGAUGAUGUUCUUAAAUUUUUUUUUAACAUUUACUUAUUUUUGAGAGACAGAGAGAGACAGAGCAUGAGUUGGGGAGGGACAGAGAGAGGGAGACACAGAAUCUGAAGCAGGCUUCAGGCUCUGAGCUGUGAGUACAGAGCCCGACACAAGGCUCGAACUCACAAACUGCGAGAUCAUGCCGAGCUGCAGUCGGACGCCCAACCAACUGAGCCACCCAGGCGCCCCUCUUGGAUGAUGUUCUUCAGUGUCUUCUUCAAUGCCACCAACAAAAAUCUUUUUCACAGUUAAGUGGGCACCAGGUCUUUGAGAAUCUUCUCUGGAGACAGCCCUCUUUGGUUCCACAACUCUUCCAUCUACCUUGUGUGGCCUUGCACUCAUGGUUGCAUCCACCUCUUCCACAGUGGCAUACAUGACAAACCCAAACACCUCUGGAGUGCUUGGUGUUUGGAUCUCUCAUAACCACACAGUCCGUAAGCAUUCCCCAUUGCUCAAAAUGGCUCCUCAGACUCUAACCGGUUGUUUCAAAGCUCAAACCUCCGAUGAAAAGCUUCGGUAGCUGUUCAGGCUCUUUGCGAGACUCUGACUUAAGACAUGAUAGUGGUGGGAGGGGAGACUUUAAUGAUGCUUCCUCAGCAGUGUCCACGGGCAGAAAG